RNAcentral lists this ribosomal RNA (398 nucleotides) under uncultured bacterium. RNAcentral's name for it is "bacterial SSU rRNA". It matches the Rfam family "Bacterial small subunit ribosomal RNA", at positions 28 to 428 of the family's 1533-position model. The record is from RNAcentral.
AUUGAACGCUGGCGGCAUGCUUUACACAUGCAAGUCGAGCGGCAGCGCGGGGGCAACCCUGGCGGCGAGCGGCGAACGGGUGAGUAAUGCAUCGGGAACGUACCCUGGAGUGGGGGAUAACGCCGCGAAAGCGGCGCUAAUACCGCAUAUGCUCUGAGGAGGAAAGCGGGGGCUCGCAAGACCUCGCGCUCUGGGAGCGGCCGAUGUCCGAUUAGCUAGUUGGUGGGGUAAAGGCUUACCAAGGCGACGAUCGGUAGCUGGUCUGAGAGGAUGAUCAGCCACACUGGGACUGAGACACGGCCCAGACUCCUACGGGAGGCAGCAGUGGGGAAUUUUGGACAAUGGGGGCAACCCUGAUCCAGCCAUGCCGCGUGAGUGAAGAAGGCCUUCGGUUGUAA